CGGACGGGUGAGUAACACGUGGAUAACCUACCUAUAAGACUGGGAUAACUUCGGGAAACCGGAGCUAAUACCGGAUAAUAUAUUGAACCGCAUGGUUCAAUAGUGAAAGACGGUUUUGCUGUCACUUAUAGAUGGAUCCGCGCCGCAUUAGCUAGUUGGUAAGGUAACGGCUUACCAAGGCGACGAUGCGUAGCCGACCUGAGAGGGUGAUCGGCCACACUGGGACUGAGACACGGCCCAG
This 241-nucleotide ribosomal RNA is filed under the name uncultured Staphylococcus sp. RNAcentral describes it as "partial 16S ribosomal RNA". It matches the Rfam family "Bacterial small subunit ribosomal RNA", at positions 99 to 334 of the family's 1533-position model. Lineage: Bacteria; Bacillati; Bacillota; Bacilli; Caryophanales; Staphylococcaceae. The record is from RNAcentral.